RNAcentral lists this ribosomal RNA (253 nucleotides) under uncultured bacterium. Its description in RNAcentral is "partial 16S ribosomal RNA". It matches the Rfam family "Bacterial small subunit ribosomal RNA", at positions 524 to 776 of the family's 1533-position model. The record is from RNAcentral.
UACGAAGGGGGCUAGCGUUGCUCGGAAUUACUGGGCGUAAAGGGCGCGUAGGCGGGUCGUUUAGUUAGAGGUGAAAGCCCAGGGCUCAACCCUGGAAUUGCCUUUAAUACUGGCGGCCUUGAGUAUGGCAGAGGUGUGUGGAACUCCGAGUGUAGAGGUGAAAUUCGUAGAUAUCGGGAGGAACACCAGUGGCGAAGGCGGCGAUCUGGGUCGAUACUGACGCUGAGGUGCGAAAGCGUGGGGAGCAAACAGG